Long non-coding RNA from Marmota monax (woodchuck), 1307 nucleotides. RefSeq lists it as uncharacterized. The record is from RefSeq and is a predicted model, not a curated record. Lineage: Eukaryota; Metazoa; Chordata; Mammalia; Rodentia; Sciuridae. The transcript has 3 exons.
CUAGAUACAGCAGUCAACCAAUAAGGAAUCUCCACACUUAAUGGCUCGCUGGCGUUACUUCACAAACCACUCCCUCUGGCAAAAUGCCAGGCCCCAUCCAGACUUGUUUACAGACUCUAACAAUUAUUGACACUGUUCUGCUGGUUGGAUUCAAUAACAACUAUGCAGUUACUUACUCAUUGAUAAUAUGCACAUUCGCAGAGGCCAGAAGUGACAUUCAAGCUGGCAUUCUGUUACUUAGCCUUUUCAAGGUCAAAGCCAAUACCAAAACAGAUUGUGGCAAAUAUUGUGGCUGACACCAAACUUUGGUACAAUCUUCAUGCCCAGGAAAUAGUGAUCAAAAGCAAGUGCAGGCCUUUAGGCAGGAGGCAAAGGGCAGCUUUGAGAGAGAAAGGCCAACUACAACAGGCAGACACUAUUUAUUGCUCAAAUUAAGAGGGGAUACAGAGUUAGGCCAGGAAGAGCAUUUGGGGAUUGGGGCUGUAGAACUCUUAUUGUCAGCUAAAGGAAGCUCAUUGAUGGGUUCUGCUAGCCGGUAGUUAUACCUCCACCUGCCUCCCAUCCCCAUCAGUAACCCUAGUUGUUUCCAGAAGAUGUUCCAAGAUGUGACUUCAAUCUUCAUUUUGGCCCUGAGGGUCAUGUGUCUCUAAUGCUGUCCAUGCAGCAGAUCGGAGAAGACCCAUCCCUGCUUCCACCCAGCAUGGGAGGGACCGGGAUCCAGACAAAGACUACACUAAAAGGUGAUGAAACUUAAAUACAAAGAGACUAAGCAACUUUGCAAGACCUCAUGGUAUGUUGGGAGAAGCUAAGCUUAAAAUUCAAGGAAAAUGAAUCACCUGAUCUCCAUCAAGAAGAAAGUGACAGACAGCAUGACGGUGCACAUCUGUAAUCCCAGGAGGCUGAGGCAGGAGCAUCAAGUAUUCAAAGCCAGCCUCAGCAAUGGCAAGUGCUAAGCAACUCAGUGAGACCCUGUCUCUAAAUAAAAUACAAAAUAGGGCUGGGGAUGUGGCUCAGUGGUUGAAUGCCCCUGAGAUCAAUCCCCCAAAAUAAAAUCAUAAAAAAAGCAAAAAAUGAAGAAUGUGAGGCUGGGAUAUGUAGUUCCCUCAUUGAGUGGCUGCUUCUUAGAGUCAAGACUAAACAAUAGAAGGGAAACAUGACUCUUUGGCACCAGUUAUCUCUGCUGUAGGCCUAAAAGCAAUUAGACAUGUGGUUCUUCUCAUCCCACAAAACCUGGACAGCCCUACAGAACUUGAUCCUUUGCAGCAAUGUUAGAAAGGAGGCAUUUUGCAGCAAGAAUAUUUGUAGCA